Molecule: ribosomal RNA, 253 nt
Filed under: uncultured bacterium
Lineage: Bacteria
Description: partial 16S ribosomal RNA
Rfam family: Bacterial small subunit ribosomal RNA
Source: RNAcentral
UACAGAGGGUGCGAGCGUUGUCCGGAAUCACUGGGCGUAAAGGGCGCGUAGGUGGUGAGUUAAGUGUGCGGUGAAAGCCCGAGGCUCAACCUCGGGUCGGCCGUGCGAACUGGGUCACUGGAGCAGAAUAGAGGCAGGUGGAAUUCCGGGUGUAGCGGUGGAAUGCGUAGAGAUCCGGAAGAACACCGGUGGCGAAGGCGGCCUGCUGGGUUCUGGCUGACGCUGAGGCGCGACAGCGUGGGGAGCAAACAGG